This is a long non-coding RNA of Diceros bicornis minor, 242 nucleotides long. RefSeq lists it as uncharacterized. The transcript has 3 exons. Lineage: Eukaryota; Metazoa; Chordata; Mammalia; Perissodactyla; Rhinocerotidae. The record is from RefSeq and is a predicted model, not a curated record.
UGAAUACAUUGACAGACUUUUCAAUAUAGUAAGACCAAGAUGACUUCUCUACAUGGCAAUAGAUGGAGUGGAACCACGUGCUAAAAUGAACCAGCAGCGUUCGAGGAGGUUCAGAGCAUCAAAGGAAGGAAUGGAAGCAGCAGUAGAGAAGCAGCGAGUCAGGGAAGAAAUACUGGCAAAAGGUGGCUUUCUUCCUCCAGAAGAAAUAAAAGAAAGAUUUGACAGCAACUAUGUUACACCAG